RNAcentral lists this ribosomal RNA (1342 nucleotides) under uncultured bacterium. RNAcentral's name for it is "bacterial SSU rRNA". It matches the Rfam family "Bacterial small subunit ribosomal RNA", at positions 28 to 1381 of the family's 1533-position model. The record is from RNAcentral.
GACGAACGCUGGCGGCGUGCUUAACACAUGCAAGUCGAACGAUGAAGCCCAGCUUGCUGGGUGGAUUAGUGGCGAACGGGUGAGUAACACGUGAGUAACCUGCCCUUGACUCUGGGAUAAGCGUUGGAAACGACGUCUAAUACCGGAUACGAGCUUCCACCGCAUGGUGAGUUGCUGGAAAGAAUUUUGGUCAAGGAUGGACUCGCGGCCUAUCAGCUUGUUGGUGAGGUAAUGGCUCACCAAGGCGACGACGGGUAGCCGGCCUGAGAGGGUGACCGGCCACACUGGGACUGAGACACGGCCCAGACUCCUACGGGAGGCAGCAGUGGUGAAUAUUGCACAAUGGGCGAAAGCCUGAUGCAGCAACGCCGCGUGAGGGACGACGGCCUUCGGGUUGUAAACCUCUUUUAGCAGGGAAGAAGCGAAAGUGACGGUACCUGCAGAAAAAGCACCGGCUAACUACGUGCCAGCAGCCGCGGUAAUACGUAGGGUGCAAGCGUUGUCCGGAAUUAUUGGGCGUAAAGAGCUCGUAGGCGGUUUGUCGCGUCUGCUGUGAAAUCCCGAGGCUCAACCUCGGGUCUGCAGUGGGUACGGGCAGACUAGAGUGCGGUAGGGGAGAUUGGAAUUCCUGGUGUAGCGGUGGAAUGCGCAGAUAUCAGGAGGAACACCGAUGGCGAAGGCAGAUCUCUGGGCCGCUACUGACGCUGAGGAGCGAAAGGGUGGGGAGCAAACAGGCUUAGAUACCCUGGUAGUCCACCCCGUAAACGUUGGGCGCUAGAUGUGGGGACCAUUCCACGGUUUCCGUGUCGUAGCUAACGCAUUAAGCGCCCCGCCUGGGGAGUACGGCCGCAAGGCUAAAACUCAAAGGAAUUGACGGGGGCCCGCACAAGCGGCGGAGCAUGCGGAUUAAUUCGAUGCAACGCGAAGAACCUUACCAAGGCUUGACAUAUACGAGAACGGGCCAGAAAUGGUCAACUCUUUGGACACUCGUAAACAGGUGGUGCAUGGUUGUCGUCAGCUCGUGUCGUGAGAUGUUGGGUUAAGUCCCGCAACGAGCGCAACCCUCGUUCUAUGUUGCCAGCACGUAAUGGUGGGAACUCAUGGGAUACUGCCGGGGUCAACUCGGAGGAAGGUGGGGACGACGUCAAAUCAUCAUGCCCCUUAUGUCUUGGGCUUCACGCAUGCUACAAUGGCCAGUACAAAGGGCUGCAAUACCGUAAGGUGGAGCGAAUCCCAAAAAGCUGGUCCCAGUUCGGAUUGAGGUCUGCAACUCGACCUCAUGAAGUCGGAGUCGCUAGUAAUCGCAGAUCGGCAACGCUGCGGUGAAUACGUUCCCGGGCCU